UGGUGUUUGUGGCAUGGUCA
Molecule: non-coding RNA, 20 nt
Filed under: Arabidopsis thaliana (thale cress)
Lineage: Eukaryota; Viridiplantae; Streptophyta; Magnoliopsida; Brassicales; Brassicaceae
Source: RNAcentral